CAGGCCUAACACAUGCAAGUCGAGCGGACUUAUCCUUCGGGAUAGGUUAGCGGCGGACGGGUGAGUAACACGUAGGCAACCUGCCUGUAAGAUCGGGAUAACUACCGGAAACGGUAGCUAAGACCGGAUAGCUGGUUUCUCCGCAUGGGGGAGUCAUGAAACACGGGGCAACCUGUGGCUUACGGAUGGGCCUGCGGCGCAUUAGCUAGUUGGUGGGGUAACGGCCCACCAAGGCGACGAUGCGUAGCCGACCUGAGAGGGUGAUCGGCCACACUGGGACUGAGACACGGCCCAGACUCCUACGGGAGGCAGCAGUAGGGAAUCUUCCGCAAUGGGCGCAAGCCUGACGGAGCAACGCCGCGUGAGUGAUGAAGGUUUUCGGAUCGUAAAGCUCUGUUGCCAAGGAAGAACGCCUCGGAGAGUAACUGCUCUGAGGGUGACGGUACUUGAGAAGAAAGCCCCGGCUAACUACGUGCCAGCAGCCGCGGUAAUACGUAGGGGGCAAGCGUUGUCCGGAAUUAUUGGGCGUAAAGCGCGCGCAGGCGGUCUUUUAAGUUUGGUGUUUAAGCCCGGGGCUCAACCCCGGUUCGCACUGAAAACUGGGAGACUUGAGUGCAGGAGAGGAAAGCGGAAUUCCACGUGUAGCGGUGAAAUGCGUAGAGAUGUGGAGGAACACCAGUGGCGAAGGCGGCUUUCUGGACUGUAACUGACGCUGAGGCGCGAAAGCGUGGGGAGCAAACAGGAUUAGAU
This 750-nucleotide ribosomal RNA is filed under the name uncultured bacterium. RNAcentral's name for it is "bacterial SSU rRNA". It matches the Rfam family "Bacterial small subunit ribosomal RNA", at positions 43 to 783 of the family's 1533-position model. The record is from RNAcentral.